GUACUCUGCACAGCUGGGGGCUGUGCUGCUGCAGGCCUCUGUGCCCGACAUGAGAGAUCCGCUUCAGUCGACAGGAUGUGCUACCUCACCUGCACUUCUUGCAGGUCUGGCUCUGCUGCUGUGCAGGCAGCAGGCUGGGUAUCGGAGGAUCUGACUGAUGAUCAAGCUGUGAUUCAGACCUCCAAGCCAGAGAAAACACACAAGAGUGCUGUAGAAGGUCUUUCUCUGCUAAGGGGGAUUUUUGGACCAGUGAAUGCACUUCUUUUUCCUGUUUCUUUUCUUUUUCUCGUUAGUAAAGCAACAGUCAAAAAGCCUAUGUCUGUAUACUUUUGCCAAACACACAAAUGUUUGGCCAGUUUGCGACUCGAUAACAUCCUGGGCUUGUGUCUUAGCUCCCAGCUUGGUGAUAAUAUCCUCCCUUAGCAAAGGAUUUUACAAGCAGAUGCACAUAUCAAAAUCAGUUCACCAACAUAACUGCAGUUUGAAUCCCCAUUUGCCAAAACCACAAUCCUGGGAAUGCAUUUUAAGGAUACAGCUUCUGUGAAAUUAUUUAUGCAAGGAAAUACUUUAUUUUUGCAUCAGGACCAAAAUAAGAUUUUUUUCAUAGGUCAGAAAUCCUUUGAAGUACUUUUUUCCCCCUUUAAUUCUCAUUAGUUUAAUUAAUUGUUGCUCUCUUUUGAAAUUAAAGAGAACAAAUUGUUCUCCUGGUACUGAAGGGGCACAAGAAAAUUACUGCAAACACUGUGUUUUUACCUGAGUUUUUAUUGUAUUUCUCCUGAAUGGAAACCCAGGAAAAAGGGAGUUAAAUUGUUCAUGGAAAAAAAAGGUAUUAUAUUCAAGCCAGAAAUAUAUUCAUGUGGUGAUUUCUUGUGGAUGCAUAUAGCAUUGCAAUGUUCUGAUAAUGGAAACAAUUUGUUUUAGAAACAGUAUAAAGGUUGCUAAUUUCCAAAUAAUGAGAAAUGGUCUGCUUGACAGGUUUUUCUUUAUGGUAUUUAUACCGCAAGCAUAGUAGCAAAUACCAGGAGCAGAGGCAAAGCCAAGCAGGCUUUCCAACAGCUGCUGCGACCCCUGCUGUAUUGCUGCCAAAGCUGGUGUGACGGGACAAGGAGAAGGACACAGGCUUUUAAGUGCCCCACUGUGUGAUUAGCCCUCUCCCUUCAGGUUGACUUUUUUUUUUUUUCCUAGAGAAAAUUUAGAGGAAAUUUUUAGAGGGAUUUUUUUUUUAGAGGAAAAUCAGGGCAACACUUGCAUGUGCUGAAGUGGGUGCAUUUUCCAUAUCAUUGUUUUCCACGAACAAAUACCUCUGAAAAACAUGCACAACUGGGAAAGAUAACCUGUCUGUGAAGCUUGCAGAGAUCAAUUUCUGCCAGAUUGUUUUUCAUUUUCCUAUUGCAUUUCAUGGGGAGGGAGGUUGUGGUUACUCAUUGCUGUUGUAUGAGGCAAAUGGGGUUGGUGCUUUGUGGGCUAAUAGAACGGGAGGUGGCAUCCUGCCCUGUGUCAGAGGGAGAUAAAAAUGCCUUCUUGUCUCACGGGUCCUUUUGAAACAAACCAUCAAGUUAGGUGUUAGAAAAAGAGUUGGUGAAGUGGUUGGAGAAGGAGGGUUGCUGGAGCAAAGUGCAUACGUUAUGCUUACCGACUAUUGAUCUUCUGAGUGUAUUGGUCAUUUUGCUCUGGCAAUAUUAGGGAUGAAAUGCAGUGAUGGGCCAUUUAGACAGCUGGAGCUGAUAUUUUGGGAAGAAUGGCUAGUCUGGAUCCUAUUCAGCUAAAGAACAACCUGGAACUGGAACAGGAAAGCAUGAAGACAUCCACCCGUGCACAACCUCUUUCCAAGAUGUGAAGAUUGAAGGAAGGCUGUUAUAUCUGCUGCCUUCACCAGCUCGUUUCUCCCCUGUGUGGGAGAGCAGUUAGGAGGCAAAGGAGUGUUUCCCCUUCAGUGCAUAGUAAGAAUGUGUGAUGACAGAGAAUGCCACAGAAAGACUUCACAGGUUUUAACAGAAGAUGAACUAUCCUAUGAUAUUCAGUAGAGACGUGGUCAUAUUUUUAGUGAGUUUUCUACUGAAUUCCUUACCAGUGACAUAGUUUUCCAAAAACUUUUAGAAAGGUUAACAUAGGCCCUUAAGAACUCAAUAAACCUCUAGAUUGAUGGCA
This 2148-nucleotide long non-coding RNA is filed under the name Anser cygnoides (Swan goose). RNAcentral's name for it is "lncRNA (ENSACDG00005012067.1)". The record is from RNAcentral. Lineage: Eukaryota; Metazoa; Chordata; Aves; Anseriformes; Anatidae.